This 234-nucleotide long non-coding RNA is filed under the name Elaeis guineensis (African oil palm). RNAcentral describes it as "long non-coding RNA (EGUI_LNC062267)". The record is from RNAcentral. Lineage: Eukaryota; Viridiplantae; Streptophyta; Magnoliopsida; Arecales; Arecaceae.
AUCUGAUCACUUGUUUGGGGUAAUUGAAUUUCAUCAUGAAUGGUGAGCUCAGUCAGAAUUUGAUCCUGCAGUCACUCUUUGAUUUCUUCUUACAGUUUGUCAUUAACUUCCAUAUGAAGAAACUGAAUACUAGCCCAUCUAAACUAUUGAAUAUACUUAAAAUAGUAGAGAGCCAUUUCAAGGGUGAAAAAGCUCUAGUUCUUCUUGUAAAUAAGAUCUCCAAGAAGAAAGGCA